RNAcentral lists this ribosomal RNA (496 nucleotides) under uncultured bacterium. RNAcentral's name for it is "partial 16S ribosomal RNA". It matches the Rfam family "Bacterial small subunit ribosomal RNA", at positions 29 to 507 of the family's 1533-position model. The record is from RNAcentral.
AUGCACGCUGGCGGCGUGCCUAAUACAUGCAAGUCGAGCGAACAGACGAGGAGCUUGCUCCUCUGACGUUAGCGGCGGACGGGUGAGUAACACGUGGAUAACCUACCUAUAAGACUGGGAUAACUUCGGGAAACCGGAGCUAAUACCGGAUAAUAUAUUGAACCGCAUGGUUCAAUAGUGAAAGACGGUUUUGCUGUCACUUAUAGAUGGAUCCGCGCCGCAUUAGCUAGUUGGUAAGGUAACGGCUUACCAAGGCAACGAUGCGUAGCCGACCUGGGAGGGUGAUCGGCCACACUGGAACUGAGACACGGUCCAGACUCCUACGGGAGGCAGCAGUAGGGAAUCUUCCGCAAUGGGCGAAAGCCUGACGGAGCAACGCCGCGUGAGUGAUGAAGGUCUUCGGAUCGUAAAACUCUGUUAUUAGGGAAGAACAAAUGUGUAAGUAACUAUGCACGUCUUGACGGUACCUAAUCAGAAAGCCACGGCUAACUACGUG